AUCAAAUCAGCCACUCAAUACAAAAUCCAUUGUGUCAAAAAAAAUAACAAAAAAAUAGACGAAAUGUCUAAUGCGAUCUUGUCUGGCUCACACACACAUCCUAACACACCCCACCACCCAGCCGGCUCAUAGAAAUAGAAAACUUUCUUUGUUCAAUGGUCCUUGCCCUUGCCCCCAGACAGCGACAGACAGAAAGAGAGGGUAGAUUUCGGGGGAGAACCCACUCGAAUUUUUACGUUUUCUGUCACAAGCGUUUGAGUUUACACAAUGAUUACGGCCAAUGAUGCAAGAAUCGACGAGGGGGCGAGUCAGAGACCAGCACAGAGGCCAGGAGGCGGGUUGGAGCGAAAGAACGAAGCCGAGACGAGAACCGAGAGACGACUUAGACAAAGAGCACCAACACAGAUGCCCAGAACUGCCUGGUCGGAACGUAAACAAGAAAUCGCACAUCGCAGAUUUGUGGGACGUCUGUGGUGGUGUUAGUAAGAGUAUCUGUGUGUUUGUGCGUCCCCUGCACCCCAUUCUCUCACACCCUCACCAUGACCAUCGAAUUGGCAUUUACAGUUCAAUGUGCUCCCCACACACACACACACUCUCACACUUGCAACAGUUUUUAUACAGUCACGUCAGCGGCCAGACGCCGUUAACGUCGCUGUCGCUGUCGCUGUCUGCGUUGCAGUCAACGUUAGCUGCGCAGCUGCCGGCAACCCCUACCAGCACCCCCUACAGCAAAGCAAGCAGCGCCGUCGCACUAUGGUCCAGACGACCCCUUUUGUUGGCCAAAAUUCAAAUUUUAAAAGUUAAAAUAUCGAAGUCAUUUUAAUCGCAUUUUAUUCGGAGAAGACCGACUAUCAAUGCUGCAUACUAAAAAUUUUUAUAGAUGGCGCCACAUUCACGAAAUCGGAACUUAAACUCAGCUGGUCAUACUGAAAAAAGUUUGAAGUGUAAAAGUGAAAAAAAAGAGUCUUUUUCAACAUCACAUUGCGCAAAAAAUACAACAAUUUUACCAAUCUUUAGACAUGAAUAAGAUUCAGUGGGGUUUGUACUACGUGUUGUGUAUAAUGAAAUGUUAUAUAUUGUUGUGGUGUCUUCGUAGUUAUAUGUUAAAGUGAAUCGUCUGAACUGUGAAAAUUGUGUAGAAAUCUCGUUUUUAAAAAGCUGUAGAAAGUGAGUCCAGCCUAGUCCAACCUUGAAACCUUUUGUACGUCGUAGAGUAAUUAAUUAUCUUUCGAUUGUAUAUAGUCAGAAUUGCCACUUUUAACCACUUUCUUUGGAAUUUGCGUUUUUAGCUCAUAACCUAAAAUUCGACAACUCAGAAUUGUUUGAAAUAUGGAAGUCUGUGAAGACCCAAGAACAAAAGUACAAAGCAAUUCUUGAUUUUUUUAAAUCUAAAACUAGUGGCGAAAUAUUUGAGAAAAAAAUGCAAGCUUUUGAGGAUGCCAGUAAGAAAAUAUGCUACCGUUUAACGGUAAAAUGGAAGAAUUGCAGAUCGAAUGCAAAGCUAUUUCAAAGGAGACGUAAAUGCAGCCGUAUCGAUAAUAUUUGUGAUGUUUUCCAUCGAGCCAUGGAUACAUCUGAUCCAAUCAUUUCGUCAGUCAACCUGGAUAGACGCAUUCAUAACCCAAAAAAAAUGAAGCUCCCACCUGAAGUCUUGGAAAUGCUCUUAUGCGAAGGGGGCCCAAGUGAAGACUUCGAAUAUGAAGAGGAAUUCGAUGACAGUCUUAAAUACGAACUAAAUUUUGAACUAGAGAAUGAAAAUCAAGAGCUUUUACAACAUUUGGAUCCCUGAAGCUGUUUCCUUUAUGUGGAACCCUUAAUUUCAAUGAUUUUUAUUAAAACUGUAUAUUAAUAUUAUGUUUUUGAUCCAAUACAACCAUAUUUUAAAACAUUUAAUAAAAUAAAAAAAAUAUAUAUAAAAAGAGGCGGUGCCACACCCAUUUUUUUUUAAAUUUCUACUGCCUAUGGAUUAUAUUAACCCAAUAAAAAAAACUAGAUCGAAAUAUCUUGUUCCAUUCGUGAGUUAUUAAUUUAUGCCAACAAAAGGGGUCGUCUGGACCAUAGUGCGUCGCUGCAGUGACAAAAAUUUCACAAAAACAACAUGACUAAGCGGCCAUCUCUUUGCUCCACCGCCAUUGCCAUUGCCAUUGCCACUGCCACCCUAAUUUUUUGUUGUUUUGCGUUUCAAAGUUUGUUUGUUGUUUGUUGAUUUGUUUAAUGUUGCACCUACAUUGUGUUGUCUUGUUGUUGUUGUUGUUGUUGUUGCUGCUACUGUUGCUGCUGGGAUUAAGAUUAUCCUGCCUGAUGUGGUAGCUGGUAUCCGUAUUGUGUUUGAGUAUCAAAAGAUUCUUGGUCGUUGCAGCCGCUUUGAAAAUGUUUACUUUCUGUUCCAGCGUGCACACAAUCGACAUAAUGUUUUGUUUUUUUUUUUUUAAAUAAUCAUUUAA
Molecule: long non-coding RNA, 2444 nt
Organism: Drosophila ananassae
Lineage: Eukaryota; Metazoa; Arthropoda; Insecta; Diptera; Drosophilidae
Exons: 2
Source: RefSeq, a predicted model, not a curated record